GUAGGAGUUGGUGCUAUCAGUGGGUCUCUGCUUACAGGACCUCUCACUGGCAAGAUCUAACUAAAAUACGGCUGGCAAUAAAAAUUUGGAAAGGUAAUCUGUGCGGUAUCAGAAACCUACAACACAUAAAAGAAGAACACAGGACAGAAAUCGACGCUGAAGGCAAGGAGGCAGGCAACUGCACCCCUGCUUCCUGAGCCACCUGGGACUUGAAGUUCUACCACUGUGGCUCCAAAGCUGCCCAACUAGAAACCCCAAAAGGCAAGAGAACUACGAUACCCACAAUUCAGGCUCCUCACCCGAAACCAGAAGAGGGCGUAUGGCUAGAGUUUCACCCUAAGAAGAAAGGGGAAGCAGGUGGAAAAGCAAUUAAAAAAAAAUCAGAUUCUCUUUCGGUGAUUCAGAGCUGAAGGUGCCUCACUGCCCUGUGGAACAGGUGAAUAAAGCCUUCCCAGCAUCUCUCUCUAGCCUAUUAUCUCCUGUUAGACACAGCCCAGAAAAUGAAUAGAGACAAGUCCUGGCUGGGUCUGGGUUCAGAAACAUAAUAGAAGGAUUCAUCUAAUCUGUCGGCCACUGUGGAGGAAGUGAACCUUCUAGAUCCUGCUGACUCAUACAAUGAGUUUUGUGUGGACCAUCAGACAAAAGGGCUGGCUGGUGAAGGUGGCUGUUGUCUGGAAAUUCCUCCCAGCUCUCCUCUAAUUAUGUCAUAAGGACUGGAGGCCCCUUAGCCUGCUUGUGAUAACACGCAAGGAAAUAUGGGCCAACUCUUCACAUGAACACAAGAUAUUUCCAUGCUAGCCUUUUGCAAGUAACAACAGAGAGAGCUCUGUGCAGUUUUCACUGGAAUGCCUGUGGAUUGCUUGUGUCAUAACUGUAAUCUAAAGAGUUGUCCAUUUGUUGAUUCCUUUGUAUUUGUAUUGGUAGAAUUGCCACUAUCAAACCAAGAUCUUUAGCUGCCUUUGUAUCAACUUCUUUGGAGCUUAUGUGAUUUUCCAGAAAAUUUCCAAGGCAUAGUUUUGUCCCUAAGUCCCAUGAAUAUGUAAUAUUUUGUGUCUCUCUAUUAAAAUAGCACUUUUUGUGCAUUCCAUUAACAAA
RNAcentral lists this long non-coding RNA (1095 nucleotides) under Homo sapiens (human). RNAcentral's name for it is "HSALNT0339517". The record is from RNAcentral. Lineage: Eukaryota; Metazoa; Chordata; Mammalia; Primates; Hominidae.